GGCCCCAUCGUCUAGUGGUCUAGGACGCCGGCCUCUCACGCCGGUAGCGCGGGUUCGAACCCCGCUGGGGUCACCA
Molecule: transfer RNA, 76 nt
Filed under: Desulfobacteraceae bacterium
Lineage: Bacteria; Pseudomonadati; Thermodesulfobacteriota; Desulfobacteria; Desulfobacterales; Desulfobacteraceae
Description: tRNA-Glu
Rfam family: tRNA
About the family: Transfer RNA (tRNA) molecules are approximately 80 nucleotides in length.
Source: RNAcentral